AACCGGCACCUCAAGUGGUCAGGAUGAUUAUUGGGCCUAAAGCAUCCGUAGCCGGCUCUGUAAGUUUUCGGUUAAAUCUGUACGCUCAACGUACAGGCUGCCGGGAAUACUGCAGAGCUAGGGAGUGGGAGAGGUAGACGGUACUCGGUAGGAAGGGGUAAAAUCCUUUGAUCUAUUGAUGACCACCUGUGGCGAAGGCGGUCUACCAGAACACGUCCGACGGUGAGGGAUGAAAGCUGGGGGAGCAAACCGG
RNAcentral lists this ribosomal RNA (253 nucleotides) under uncultured archaeon. Its description in RNAcentral is "partial 16S ribosomal RNA". It matches the Rfam family "Archaeal small subunit ribosomal RNA", at positions 474 to 727 of the family's 1478-position model. The record is from RNAcentral.